RNAcentral lists this ribosomal RNA (89 nucleotides) under Legionella jamestowniensis. The record is from RNAcentral. Lineage: Bacteria; Pseudomonadati; Pseudomonadota; Gammaproteobacteria; Legionellales; Legionellaceae.
CCUGAUUCCAUCUCGAACUCAGUAGUGAAACAGACCUGCGCCGAUGAUAGUGUGAGGUUUCCUCAUGUGAAAGUAGGUCAUUGCCAGGG